AGGUGUGAUCAUACCAGCACUAAUACACCAGAUCCCAUUAGAAUUUCGCAGUUAAGCGUACUUGGGCGAGAGUAGUACUAGGAUGGGUGACCUUCUAGGAAGUCCUCGUAUUGCACAUC
Ribosomal RNA from Abrus precatorius (Indian licorice), 119 nucleotides. Lineage: Eukaryota; Viridiplantae; Streptophyta; Magnoliopsida; Fabales; Fabaceae. The record is from RefSeq and is a predicted model, not a curated record.